Long non-coding RNA from Drosophila montana, 1371 nucleotides. RefSeq lists it as uncharacterized. NCBI's taxonomy places the organism in Eukaryota, Metazoa, Arthropoda, Insecta, Diptera, Drosophilidae. The record is from RefSeq and is a predicted model, not a curated record. The transcript is spliced from 2 exons.
AUAUCACAGAACACAGAUAAAAAUAUGAAGGCAUCCACAAAAUGAUUGACUGUAUAAAGUAUUGAACGAUUCUGCGACUUGGCAAUGCUGACAAGAGAUUGAACAACUAGUAAAACUCCUGCAGCCACCUGCAUAUAAAAAUCUACUUUGUACUAUAACUACGGUACUUUAGCAUGCUGAUCGAUGAGCCUAAGAGGCUGUGACGAAUACUCGAUGCCGAAACCAGAUAUUAUAACAUUCACAACUGAUAUUACAAAGAUGACCACCAAUAUGACAUCGUUCAAUAUUAUUGCUGCCGUCUGGUCUUGCUGCUUGUUAAUAUUCAGACUGCCGAUGGCCACAAACAUAAUUCCGACCAAUAGCUGUUCAAAUGAAAAUUGAAAUUGUUUUUAGAGAGCAGCGAAUGUUCCCACGGAUCGGAUCAGUUAUUAAUUUGAUAUAGUUUCGUAAGCUCUAGAUAUACAAUUUUAAUUGACAUCGUUCAAAAGAUUGCCCUGUGGCGGGGGCAGGCGACUAUCAAAAGCCGAUAUGAAAAGAUUUAUCAUUGUGGUAAAAAACGCAAAACCGGUGCGCACAUGAUUGAUCACAUUGGCCGAUUGAUGGAACUCUGGCUGAUGCAUUCGGCAAUCCCGCAAUAAACUGAGAGACAGGCUUAAUACGCCCGACAGUAUCUAUGACAUUGGAGAACGAGCCGUUACAACCCCAAAGCCAAGGAAAUCAAAUAGAAAUUGACUAUUUACCUGCAUAACAAUUGACAAGCUAAUAAGUAUAAGCAUUAGCUUGUAGAAUUGAUGCUGUUCCCCGACCUGAAGUAUAUAUUUCAACUGAGAUGCGUUUGCCGUCAGCAAAGCUAUAUCCAGCAUGCCCUGGGCUAUAGUUUUUUUGGUCGCAUAGCGAUUGGCAUCCAUGGCUUUCAUCUGAAAAUAUGCAUCAAAAACAAUAGACAGGUUAGUUCCAAUAAUUCGAAAUCAAAUUCUCAAUACAUUUACACACUGAUGAUGCCAUCUUUAGAAGUAUGUCUGUUCCCCUCAAGACUCGAACUAGCUGUGAAGUGAAUCUGCUCUUGUUCGAAUUUUUAAAAUUUCUUAUCUUUGCAAUUGUUCUGAUACAUUCAUGUGCCUUGCUGAUAAACACAACUCAAACCAAUUAGUUAAAAGUGCAAAUAUAUUCUGCUGUAAUGGGUACAAGGAUAGAGACAGCAUCUAUUGAAUAGUUGUACGCCUUUUGACAAUCUUUUUAACGUAAGUUUUAAUCGAAGAAACAACUAAAUAUCGUACCUGCCAUGCAUUCUGUACAGGUUUCUGCAAGAAACAAAUGACAUAUCAACAAAAUUACGGUAUUCAAAUAAAUAAAGUUAUGUAAACAAAAGAA